Molecule: unclassified non-coding RNA, 191 nt
Filed under: plant metagenome
Description: partial contains small subunit ribosomal RNA and internal transcribed spacer 1
Rfam family: Eukaryotic small subunit ribosomal RNA (bases 1-46)
Source: RNAcentral
AAGUCGUAACAAGGUCUCCGUAGGUGAACCUGCGGAAGGAUCAUUAAAGAAUAUCGAGCUUCGCAGCUCUUAUUCUCACCCCUUUUGUAUAUCAAACUUUUGUUGCUUUGGCAAGCGCCCUUCCGGGGCCUGCCCCGAGGACCGAAACCCUAGAAUCUCCUGCCGUCUGAGUACUAUAUAAUAGUUAAAAC